Long non-coding RNA from Nothoprocta perdicaria, 371 nucleotides. RefSeq lists it as uncharacterized. NCBI's taxonomy places the organism in Eukaryota, Metazoa, Chordata, Aves, Tinamiformes, Tinamidae. The transcript has 3 exons. The record is from RefSeq and is a predicted model, not a curated record.
ACAAGAUAAUUAAAGAAAGAAAAAAAAGAAUAGUAGGAAAUCUUAAUUAAUUUAAUCCUAUUUUUGUGCUAGAGAAUUAGCCGGAAUGUGAGAUCAGGAACUAGGCAAGAAAAGAACAAUAGCAUGUUUAUGCAAUGCUGGUUAUUGCUGCUUGUUUUGACAAAAGUGCUGAACAGUUGCAAGGAACCAGAAACUGCUACAGCAUGUGAUGAUCAGUAAGGAAGUGUAGACACGUGCUAGUGAAGAAGGAAACAUUUUAAGUUCCUUUGGGUCUGAGAACAAUUUAUUAUCCAUGGAGAACUAUGGUUCUGAGAAUUCUUUCAUUGAUAAAUCCACUCAAUAGAUUCUUCAUGGUCAACUUUAAGCCAGUC